This is a non-coding RNA of Schistosoma mattheei, 46 nucleotides long. Lineage: Eukaryota; Metazoa; Platyhelminthes; Trematoda; Strigeidida; Schistosomatidae. The record is from Rfam.
GAACUAUUGAGGAGUCCCAUAAUAGGACUAAACAACCGUCUAGUGC